GGCAGCUCUAGUGGUAGCCAUUUUAUUGGGCCUAAAGCGUUCGUAGCCGGUUUGAUAAGUCUCUGGUGAAAUCCUAUAGCUUAACUGUGGGACUUGCUGGAGAUACUAUUAGACUUGAGGUCGGGAGAGGUUAGCGGUACUCCCAGGGUAGGGGUGAAAUCCUGUAAUCCUGGGAGGACCACCUGUGGCGAAGGCGGCUAACUGGAACGAACCUGACGGUGAGGGACGAAAGCCAGGGGCGCGAACC
RNAcentral lists this ribosomal RNA (247 nucleotides) under uncultured euryarchaeote. RNAcentral describes it as "partial 16S ribosomal RNA". It matches the Rfam family "Archaeal small subunit ribosomal RNA", at positions 478 to 725 of the family's 1478-position model. Lineage: Archaea; Methanobacteriati; Methanobacteriota. The record is from RNAcentral.